RNAcentral lists this ribosomal RNA (305 nucleotides) under uncultured bacterium. RNAcentral describes it as "bacterial SSU rRNA". It matches the Rfam family "Bacterial small subunit ribosomal RNA", at positions 335 to 632 of the family's 1533-position model. The record is from RNAcentral.
UUUCCUACGGGACGCAGCAGUGGGGAAUAUUGCGCAAUGGGCGAAAGCCUGACGCAGCGACGCCGCGUGAGGGAUGAAGGUCUUCGGAUCGUAAACCUCUGUCAGCAGGGAAGAACGGUCACUGUGCUAAUCAGCAGUGAAUUGACGGUACCUGCAAAGGAAGCACCGGCUAACUCCGUGCCAGCAGACGCGGUAAUACGGAGGGUGCGAGCGUUAAUCGGAAUUACUGGGCGUACAGCGCUCGUAGGCGGUAUGUCAAGUAAAGGGUGAAAUCCCCACGCGCAACGUGGGAACUGCCUUUGAAA